CGGAACUAGCCGGUCAUAAACCGGAGGAAGGUGGGGAUGACGUCAAGUCAGCAUGGCCUUUAUAUCCUGGGCUACACACACGCUACAAUGGGAAGGGACAAUAGGUUGCGAAGCCGCGAGGCGGAGCCAAUCCAGCAAAACUUCCCUCAGUUCAGAUUGCAGGCUGCAACUCGCCUGCAUGAAGUUGGAGUUGCUAGUAAACGCAGGUCAGCCAUACUGCGUUGAAUACGUUCCCGGGUCUU
RNAcentral lists this ribosomal RNA (242 nucleotides) under uncultured Anaerolineaceae bacterium. Its description in RNAcentral is "partial 16S ribosomal RNA". It matches the Rfam family "Bacterial small subunit ribosomal RNA", at positions 1144 to 1382 of the family's 1533-position model. Lineage: Bacteria; Bacillati; Chloroflexota; Anaerolineae; Anaerolineales; Anaerolineaceae. The record is from RNAcentral.